Non-coding RNA from Ameiurus melas (black bullhead), 73 nucleotides. NCBI's taxonomy places the organism in Eukaryota, Metazoa, Chordata, Actinopteri, Siluriformes, Ictaluridae. The record is from the annotation of a GenBank genome assembly.
AUUGAAAUAGCUCAGUUGGGAGAGCGUUAGACUGAAGAUCUAAAGGUCCCUGGUUUAAAUCCGGGUUUCCGCA